CCUACGGGGGGCUGCAGUGGGGGAUAUUGCACAAUGGGGGAAACCCUGAUGCAGCGACGCCGCGUGUGGGAAGACGGUCCUCUGGAUUGUAAACUACUGUCCCCAGGGACGAAGAUGACGGUACCUGGGGAGGAAGCUCCGGCUAACUACGUGCCAGCAGCCGCGGUAAUACGUAGGGAGCGAGCGUUGUCCGGAAUUACUGGGUGUAAGGGGAGCGUAGGCGGGACUGCAAGUUGGGUGUCAAAUCUACCGGCUCAACCGGUAGCCGCACUCAAAACUGCAGUUCUUGAGUGAAGUAGAGGCAGGCGGAAUUCCUAGUGUAGCGGUGAAAUGCGUAGAUAUUAGGAGGAACACCAGUGGCGAAGGCGGCCUGCUGGGCUUUUACUGACGCUGAGGCUCGAAAGUGUGGGGAGCAAACAGGAUUAGAUACCCCAGUAGUC
Molecule: ribosomal RNA, 440 nt
Filed under: uncultured bacterium
Lineage: Bacteria
Description: partial 16S ribosomal RNA
Rfam family: Bacterial small subunit ribosomal RNA
Source: RNAcentral